UAGGGAAUCUUCGGCAAUGGGGGCAACCCUGACCGAGCAACGCCGCGUGAGUGAAGAAGGUUUUCGGAUCGUAAAGCUCUGUUGUAAGUCAAGAACGAGUGUGAGAGUGGAAAGUUCACACUGUGACGGUAGCUUACCAGAAAGGGACGGCUAACUACGUGCCAGCAGCCGCGGUAAUACGUAGGUCCCGAGCGUUGUCCGGAUUUAUUGGGCGUAAAGCGAGCGCAGGCGGUUUGAUAAGUCUGAAGUUAAAGGCUGUGGCUCAACCAUAGUUCGCUUUGGAAACUGUCAAACUUGAGUGCAGAAGGGGAGAGUGGAAUUCCAUGUGUAGCGGUGAAAUGCGUAGAUAUAUGGAGGAACACCGGUGGCGAAAGCGGCUCUCUGGUCUGUAACUGACGCUGAGGCUCGAAAGCGUGGGGAGCGAACAGGAUUAGAUACCCUGGUGGUCCACGCCGUAAACGAUGAGUGCUAGGUGUUGGAUCCUUUCCGGGAUUCAGUGCCGCAGCUAACGCAUUAAGCACUCCGCCUGGGGAGUACGACCGCAAGGUUG
Molecule: ribosomal RNA, 550 nt
Filed under: uncultured bacterium
Lineage: Bacteria
Description: bacterial SSU rRNA
Rfam family: Bacterial small subunit ribosomal RNA
Source: RNAcentral